UUGCACGCUGGCGGCAUGCCUUACACCUGCCAGUCGAACGGUAACAGGUUAAGCUGCCGAGUGGCGAACGGGUGAGUAAUACAUCGGAACGUGCCCAGUAGUGGGGGAUAGCCCGGCGAAAGCCGGAUUAAUACCGCAUACGACCUAAGGGUGAAAGGGGGGGAUCGCAAGACCUCUCGCUAUUGGAGCGGCCGAUGUCAGAUUAGCUAGUUGGUGGGGUAAAAGCUCACCAAGGCGACGAUCUGUAGCUGGUCUGAGAGGACGACCAGCCACACUGGGACUGAGACACGGCCCAGACUCCUACGGGAGGCAGCAGUGGGGAAUUUUGGACAAUGGGCGCAAGCCUGAUCCAGCCAUGCCGCGCGCGGGAAGAAGGCCUUCGGGUUGUAAACCGCUUUUGUCAGGGAAGAAAUCCUUUGGGUUAAUACCUCGGGGGGAUGACGGUACCUGAAGAAUAAGCACCGGCUAACUACGUG
RNAcentral lists this ribosomal RNA (476 nucleotides) under uncultured bacterium. RNAcentral describes it as "partial 16S ribosomal RNA". It matches the Rfam family "Bacterial small subunit ribosomal RNA", at positions 30 to 507 of the family's 1533-position model. The record is from RNAcentral.